Molecule: RNase P RNA, 419 nt
Filed under: Calothrix sp. 336/3
Lineage: Bacteria; Bacillati; Cyanobacteriota; Cyanophyceae; Nostocales; Calotrichaceae
Description: Bacterial RNase P class A
Rfam family: Bacterial RNase P class A
About the family: Ribonuclease P (RNase P) is a ubiquitous endoribonuclease, found in archaea, bacteria and eukarya as well as chloroplasts and mitochondria. Its best characterised activity is the generation of mature 5'-ends of tRNAs by cleaving the 5'-leader elements of precursor-tRNAs.
Source: Rfam by way of RNAcentral
AGAGUAGGCGCAGGUGGUUGCAGAUUCAAACACUGGGGAUUUGGAAUACCCGAUACUUGGUGUGGAAUCUGAGGAAAGUCCGGGCUCCCGAAAGACCAGACUUGCUGGAUAACGUCCAGUGCGCGUGAGCGUGAGGAUAGUGCCACAGAAAGAUACCGCCUUUUUUCAGUUUACUGAAGAGGGUAAGGGUGCAAAGGUGCGGUAAGAGCGCACCAGCAACAUCGAGAGGUGUUGGCUCGGUAAACCCCGGUUGGGUGCAAGGUAAAGGAACGACGGUUGGUCUUUUACCGGUUCCGCAAAAGAGAGCCGCUAGAGGCAACUGGUAACAGUUGUCCCAGAUAGAUAACCGCCCUUUUGUGAAGAUGUUGAUAUAACAUUUUUACAGAUGAACAGAACCCGGCUUAUGUCCGACUCUUUCC